AGAGCGAACGCUGGCGGCGUGCUUAACACAUGCAAGUCGAACGCGCAGCAUUCUGUAGCAAUACAGGGUGUGGGCGCGUGGCGAACGGGUGCGUAACACGUGGAUAACCUUCCUUGAGGUGGGAAUAACCCAGUGAAAAUUGGGCUAAUACCGCAUAACAUCGCGAUGGCACAUGCUGAUGCGAUCAAAGGAGCAAUUCGCUUAAGGAGGAGGUCGCGGCUGAUUAGCUAGUUGGCGGGGUAAUGGCCCACCAAGGCAAAGAUCGGUA
This 268-nucleotide ribosomal RNA is filed under the name uncultured bacterium. Its description in RNAcentral is "partial small subunit ribosomal RNA". It matches the Rfam family "Bacterial small subunit ribosomal RNA", at positions 26 to 285 of the family's 1533-position model. The record is from RNAcentral.